This 301-nucleotide ribosomal RNA is filed under the name uncultured bacterium. RNAcentral describes it as "partial 16S ribosomal RNA". It matches the Rfam family "Bacterial small subunit ribosomal RNA", at positions 509 to 807 of the family's 1533-position model. The record is from RNAcentral.
CAGUCGCCGCGGGAAUACGGAGGGAGCUAGCGUUGUUCGGAAUUACUGGGCGUAAAGCGCGCGUAGGCGGUUACUCAAGUCAGAGGUGAAAGCCCGGGGCUCAACCCCGGAACUGCCUUUGAAACUAGGUGACUAGAAUCUUGGAGAGGUCAGUGGAAUUCCGAGUGUAGAGGUGAAAUUCGUAGAUAUUCGGAAGAACACCAGUGGCGAAGGCGACUGACUGGACAAGUAUUGACGCUGAGGUGCGAAAGCGUGGGGAGCAAACAGGAUUAGAUACCCCCGUAGUCCCUGUCUCUUAUAC